This is a long non-coding RNA of Acinonyx jubatus (cheetah), 3102 nucleotides long. RefSeq lists it as uncharacterized. The transcript has 4 exons. The record is from RefSeq and is a predicted model, not a curated record. NCBI's taxonomy places the organism in Eukaryota, Metazoa, Chordata, Mammalia, Carnivora, Felidae.
UCUGUCGGGCUUGGACCUUGCUUUGUGCUCUGUCGAGGGCAGGACACAUUUGCCAGUGUGCGUUUCUACCCCACCAGCCCAAAUGCACCAUGAAGGGCAUCAGGUCUUAUAUUAUGGUUGGUAAAGUGAUGUCAUCAAGAGUCUUUUAUCUUCACAUCGGAGAUUCUGCUUUUGUAGAAUGGAGGUUACUCUAUUCGGUGUGCAUAUAUUAAGGAGGGAGGCCCUCGGAAUGUUGGAGAUUUAUUUUGCAAAUGGUCUUAUCCAUGUUUGAAAUCUCAUGAAAGGAGGGAACCCAGGAAGGAAUUCACCAAAUUUCUCUUCCUUUUCUUCACACAUCUUUACAGUCUUGUCGAGACUAUUAUUUCAUGGUUUUGUAGUUGACAAGGAACUUUCCCACUCAUGUUUUCACACAAGCAUUACAACCGUACCCUGUGGGAAAAACAAGGUUAGGAUUAUCGUCUCAUUUUACAGGUGUAGAAACUAAGCUCAGAGGUUUGCCCAACAGAGCUAGAACUAAGUAGUGGGUCUUCGAGGCCCCCAGUUCAUUAUCGUUGCCAUGACACUGGCUGGCACACCUUGACUGGGUUGAUGUCUAGCCUGCCUCUCACUGUGGGCUGACACCCGGGGCUUACCUCCCAAUUAGAACAGCCCCAACACGAUGCUAACUCCCUUCCCUCGUCAAAACCCAACGGCCAGCUUCCUGUGCUUCUCGUUCUAGGACACAGCACUGGACUCUGGAGGAGCCUGGAACGAUCCCAUAAAGCUUUUCCAGAGCCCCAUGAAGUGGGGGGUAUGAUCUUGUUUGAAACAGAGGGGAAGCUGAGGCCUUGUCUCCUGGAACUAAGUGACAUUUUGACAAGAAGCCACGCUUCCUGUGCUCAAGAGGCUAUGCACUCAGAUAUUCUCCUCGCGGGGCCCUUGUCAUUCUAUCUGUACCUGUGCCUGAAGCCUCAUAAAGAAAGAAGAGAGCCGGACAGAAGAUGGUCAUGGUCAUGGGGUAGAUUAUUAUGGUCGUUGUAACAGAGAUGUGUGCAAGAUGAACAAGAAGGGGAUCUGGCAAUAAUGUAUGAGCCCUGAUCGAAGGACAAGAUUCCAUGCACUUCUCCAGCUACUCAAGUAGGCGGUCCCUUUCCCCACUUACUGCUUCAGGGAUGUUUCUCCGAUGCUUGGACAUGGAGGGUGACCUUCCUCAGUCGACAGCCAUCAGGCACUUCCCCACUGGAACUUCUAAACCAGCCCUUGAGUUCUUGAAUGCCUUUCGGACUGAAACUCUGCCUUCUCGCUCCAGUGCCCUCUUCACGUCUGCAUCUGACAUCCUGAGACUGCUGCCCGAUGUCACCACCAUUGCCUGACUAUGGCAGACACCUCCCUUACCAUGCCCCUUCCUAAUCACAUGCCAGGACCACCACCUGUCUCCACACCCUGCACAUCCUAUGCCUCAUUUAGCACAGCCCUCUUCUGCCCUCCGUAACUCUUUCUGUAAGAUUAUCCCGAUGUCUCCUCCAGCAACCUCUGUAAUUAGGAGCCAGUUACCAGCAAUCUUCACGCUCAGACUGUUUAUUUACAUCAAAGUCUAGCCAUCGGUCUCACCUUAAUUUUUGUUUUUAGCUGUUUCGUCUCAAGAAAAUCAACCAUUCUUGACACUGAAGACACUGUCAUUUUUCACUUAGCUUUUCUCUAGAGCCAUAAAAUAAAAGCUCUGAUUGUAUAAUCAAAGAGAGCAGGAGAUGGGGAGGUGGGUCCCAAAGCACUGGGAUAAAUACAUUUGACAUUUAUUGAGUGUUUAAGUUAUGCUAGGCACUCCGCUACAUGUUUGUUUACAUUUUAUCAUCGAUCCUUUGCAAAACUCUAUGAAAUUGGUGCUUAUUAUAACCUCUUUGUAAAUGAGGAAAUGGCGGCAUCCAAUAUUAAGUAAUUUGAUGGGGUCACACAACUAACAAGUGGCAGAGUCAGUUCUCUGUGUGCUUCGGUUCUAACCAGCAAUGUUCUAACUACUUUACUUCUCCUUUCUGAGUCUUGGUUUCCUUACUGUAAAAUAAGGGGGUAGAAUGGAUCAGAGGACUUCCAAAGUCUCUUUCAUAUCAAGAAGAAUGGAAACCCAUCCGUGCAGGUCAGAGUUCAAGGUGGAAAGCGUCUCCCUUGCCCUCUGCUUCUUGCGGAUCUCUCUGAAGGAGGAACACUAUUGUAAUCGGGUCUGAAGGUUUGUUCUGUGAAGGGGGGAGCUGGCUCAGUCUUGGGGGGACCCAAAGCAACAGAUCCCAGAAGGUAAUCACAUUCGACUCCGCAACAACUUUCCACCAACUGCAACAAAUUUAGUCUUAUGCAUAUGAGGAGUCUAAUAAUUUUUAUGAGUGAAUAGAGAGUUUGGAAUUUAGAAAAUGUGUAGCCAAGAGUGGUCUGAAGACAGACACAAACUCUGGCUUGGAUUUAAACUCAAGUUUCAACAAUGCUGAGUAAUGAGGCCAAUGGACUCCCCCCUCCCCCCCCCAAAAUCGUAGAGUGGGAACGGCUUGAAAGAUAUUACCCAAUACCUCUAUUGUACAUAUGAGUGAAUUGAGGCCGGGAGAGGGUAAAGAGUUGCCCGGUGACUCAAUCAUGGGACAGUACCCCCCAGCUGUUAUCAUCAUCCCUUGUCAUAGUUAGAAAAACUUAAAGGUGCUAAGCUUAAUUAUUGAUGCGUUUACCUUAAGUACUGCAUUUCACACAAAAAAGAGGAAGGACUGAAAUCUGGAUUGCAGCACCACCUGCUCCCCAUGAAGAUUAAACACCCACAGGGUACCUCUUCCAGUUGAGGCUCUGAAGGAAGGCCCUUCAUCUCAAAGGCAUUCAUUCAGAUGGCACUGUGUUUCUUUGCAAUCUCAGCGUAGGCCUUUGUUUUCCUCAGGACUUAGAAGGAUAUAUUUAAGUGUUAAACUCACUGAAGUUGCUCAGCUCUGUCCAAUAAAAGGAUUGGCCAAGAUCAAAUUAGCAUUCCAUCAAGUACUUUAAAUACAAUACAAGCUACUGGAACCCUGACGACAGGAGGUCUCAGAACUGAUAAUGUAUUGAAUUGCCCUUCAAAUUAAAAUUCUCCCAUGCUUAGGAGGGAAGUAGGAGCGGAGA